RNAcentral lists this long non-coding RNA (3606 nucleotides) under Phoenix dactylifera (date palm). Its description in RNAcentral is "long non-coding RNA (PDAC_LNC002113)". The record is from RNAcentral. Lineage: Eukaryota; Viridiplantae; Streptophyta; Magnoliopsida; Arecales; Arecaceae.
CUUUCUUUCAAUCAAAUUAUCUCAAAGACCGUCUCUAUAAUGAGAUCAUUGCAACCUUUAUAUGGGCAAAAUCAUAACAAUGUUACAUCUUGAUCCUUCAAUUAAAAAUAAAUCCUAGCUAUUAGUUUAAACAUAAGAAAUAAACCCUAAAAGGCAUUAGACUCCUAAGAAGUUAAUUUUUAUUGCAUUAUUGUGAACAAUUCUCUGUGACAGUAGNNNNNNNNNNNNNNNNNNNNNNNNNNNNNNNNNNNNNNNNNNNNNNNNNNNNNNNNCAUGCUUUAUAUCAUGCAGCAAAAUAUCUUUCAAUUCAUAAAACCCUGUCUUAGUGGUUAGUUCAGUCUUCUUGCUUAAUCUAUUAUGGGGUCACCCAACUGUUGGAAUUGAUGAAAAUAUAUUCAUAACAAUGAAGUGCAAUAACUUGGCAUGAAAUAUGCAUGUGGAGGUUCUUUCAUUUCUGAUGCCACCAGAGGUGUGUAGGGUUACUUGUUGUUGGUGAAUGAGACAAGAUCAAACGCAAGCUUGCUGUCAUUCUGAUUGGCCAGAUUACUUUCUGGAUAACAGUGUCAGUUGUCUUCUCUUCAAGGCACUGAGGUGUAACAUCUUAUGGAACAUGGUUAAGUCAAAAAAAUUCUGACUUCAAGUGAAGGUAUUCUUCAUUUUCACUCUUUAACUGUGGUAAACAGUUGAGAUUGAAGCAAUGAUAAUGAGGGAAAAGGGUUCAACAAACAAAAAUUGACAUAAGAGAGGGAUGGGGUGUGUGUGAAGGUGUUAAGAAAAAGAAUUGGAAAAGAAUAAGAAAAAUGUAAAAGGGGCCGGCACCCAUGUUAUAUUUGAACUUUUAAAAAUAUAAGCCCAAAAUCAUCUACUGAACAACUAGAAUAUAAGAUUCCUUUUUUGGUCUAAACUUUGCACUUAUCCUACUCUAAUUAGGACUCCUCAAAUUGCAAUUAGAACAGAGAAAUGAUAGAAACUAAAGCCCUGCAAUAUAUAGCUUGCUUGAACUUCUUUUUUGAAUCCUUUAGGGCACCUAAAAUAGGAAACAAUUUAAGUGAGUAAUGUUUAAGCAAAUAGCACUAGCCACUAGCUGCUAACAAUUGCUUCCUUGUCUGAGUUCAGUUAUAAUUCUUAAAAAAGGAAGCAACCAGAGGCCUUUCAGGCACCAAAAUCAGCAGAUAUUGUUGCCAGAUUACCAAAAAUAUCCGAUUGCACAUCUAAAAUAAAAUCUAACAGCAACUUUAAAAUAACCUAAGGUCCCCCAAAAAGCUAGUCAAGCCUUUAAGGCUGGUCUAGAAGAGACUGUCCAAAAGGGUUUCUUUGGCUACUCGUUCUGGUCCCUUAGCUGUGCCAAUUUUUAAUCAGAUGGUGACUUCUUGACUGACUCCAUGAUGUGUGAACUUUUUAGUUUGGCCCUUGACAAACUGUACCUCAGUUCCCUCAGUCAUUGAAAGCAGGAGAAGGCAGCAGGUUAUCCUACUUAGAAAUUUCUCAGGUCUUACCAUGUCACAAGUAUCUGAAAUCUCUAAUCUGAGUCCUUUUCUUAUUUACCAAGAGCAAUAAAACAAAUGUUCAUGUUCAUUUGUGUGAAAAGGGGUUCCGUGGGGUCAAAUUAAUAAUCACUAUGUAGAGAUCUAGCAAAUAGCUAGCUUGUUGUCACCAAAACCAGCAUUCACUGUCCCUAGAAAUCAAAUUAAGCAACUCAUGGUAUUUAGGAUCUGAAAGAAUUCAUUACCAUCCAUGGUAGCUAAAAUUUGCUUGGUUUUGUGUGGUUAAGAAGCUCCAGUUGUCCUAUUGAUGAUUUGUUUAUAAUCAAUUUGUCUAUGGAAUGUACGUUGAUCCCUAAAUGCUCCUUAUCUUCAUGAUAUUUUUUUUUCUAAAACAUUUCCUUGUCAAGUUAUUGAUGGAGGGUUGAAAGGUGACUGCUUUGAAUUGGGCCAACAUUUCCUUAUUCUCCUUUAUGGUUUUAAGUGCUUUAGCAUGCUGGUUUGCACUGGUUAGGUAUCGGCAUGGUACAGGAGUAUGUAACCUCUGUAUUUCUUGUACCUAUCUAUCCUAGUCAAUAUUGGUUAGUGUUUGCAUAUGCCGAUUACCUAUUAGCAUGGACCAAUACAGAUCACCACAGAAUUUUUUGUUAAGAGGCUUGGCGCAAUGAUGAGCACAUGACCAGCACAGAAUGGUGCCAUCCAAUAUCAUGUGCUGCAAAGUGCAAACCAUAUCUGGCACGGUUGCAGCAUGUGACAUUUUAAUCUUUUAAAUCUCAUCUAGCAAAUCUUCCAUGCGGUUUAUUCACUCCUCAUGACCCUUUGAUUGCCAUCAUGAUUAUCAAAGCAUGGAUACAUGGCUUCAUGGCAAGCUUCUAUUGUGUCAAUCUUUUUGAUCAUCAGUUGUUUAACAUGUGCUCCAAUUGAAUGACAUGGAUACUCUAAUACCAAACCAAUUUGAUCUCUAUACUCUAGAGCUCUUGGGCAUAGUUCAGCUAAUGAGGACAAUUCGUCCAACGUUUGGAAAGAUUUCUGGUGAUCAAAGAUUAGAAAAACAACAAAAAUAAAGAAACUUUGAUUAUUGAACUAUCUAUUAUAUUUCUUCACAAGAAAAAUAGAAUUGAUGAGAACUAACCAUAAAUAGUAGCAAAAACAAGACCACCAGUAACGACAUAGAGCAUCAUUAAUUUGUAAGGCAUCAAAGUUUUUGAAUCAGUCAUGGGCAAUUCAUGAGUAAAUCAUAAAAUCUAUGAUAAUGGCAAAUAAUUAAAUAUUCUUGUUACUUUAUUACCAAGGAUAAUCUGGAGGAUCAUUCUGCCAGUGUAAAAAUUCAAGAAUAAUUUGAGAAAUUUUCAGUAAUUUGGAGAAUAAUUUUAGGAUACUAGGGGUUAGGGAUUGAUGCAAAGGAUUAUGUGUUUGGAGAAAAUAAUUUUAGGAUUUCAUGUUUAGGAACAAUGCUUUUGUAGUUUUUUUUGGGUAGAAAACAAAUCACAUCAAAACACAAUGAUAAAAAUAAAGUAGAACAUAGAAAAGGAGAGAAGCAUUUAAAGGAUAGAGACAGAAAAAGAGAGGGAGGGAGAACAGCCAAACCUUGGCUUUCUUCUUUCUUUCAAUCAAAUUAUCUCAAAGACCGUCUCUAUAAUGAGAUCAUUGCAACCUUUAUAUGGGCAAAAUCAUAACAAUGUUACAUCUUGAUCCUUCAAUUAAAAAUAAAUCCUAGCUAUUAGUUUAAACAUAAGAAAUAAACCCUAAAAGGCAUUAGACUCCUAAGAAGUUAAUUUUUAUUGCAUUAUUGUGAACAAUUCUCUGUGACAGUAGUUUGGAUAGUACAGCAAACAGUAUCCACUGAAGUUUUUGUUCUUUGCUUUUUAUCUUUUUCCUUGGAAGAAAUCUGGGAUUGGCAAGAAAGAGGAGUUGGCUGUGAAUUUUCUUUCCUUGUUCUUUUCCUUGCAUCAUCCACUAGGGUAGGAGACGGGAGGGUGGGUCUUUUUUCCCCUCUCUCUCUAUCUCUCCUCCUCCCCACCUCUUCUCUCCUUCUCUCUCCCCCUCUCUCCUUCUCCCUCCCCUCUCCCUUCUUCUCCCAUUUCUUGAUGGCUAAGGGAAGAGGCAUGCUCAGUUUUCCCUUUUU